CGAACGGGUGAGUAAUAUAUCGGAACGUGCCUAGUAAUGGGGAACAACUAACCGAAAGGUUAGCUAAUACCGCAUACGCACUGAGGUGGAAAGCGGGGGAUCGUAAGACCUCGCGCUACUGGAGCGGCCGAUGUCCGAUUAGCUAGUUGGUGGGGUAAAGGCCUACCAAGGCGACGAUCGGUAGCUGGUCUGAGAGGAUGAUCAGCCACACUGGGACUGAGACACGGCCCAGACUCC
This 237-nucleotide ribosomal RNA is filed under the name uncultured bacterium. RNAcentral describes it as "partial 16S ribosomal RNA". It matches the Rfam family "Bacterial small subunit ribosomal RNA", at positions 99 to 339 of the family's 1533-position model. The record is from RNAcentral.